UAAUACAGAGGGUGCAAGCGUUAAUCGGAUUUACUGGGCGUAAAGGGCGCGUAGGUGGUUAUGUAAGUGAGAUGUGAAAUCCCCGGGCUUAACCUGGGAACUGCGUCUUAUACUGCAUAGCUUGAGUACAUGAGAGGGUAGUGGAAUUUCCGGUGUAGCGGUGAAAUGCGUAGAUAUCGGAAGGAACACCAGUGGCGAAGGCGGCUACCUGGCAUGAUACUGACACUGAGGCGCGAGAGCGUGGGGAGCAAACAGGAUUAGAUACCCUGGUAGUCCACGCCGUAAACGAUGAAAACUAGAUGUUGGGCAGCUUAGACUGUUCGGUAUCGAAGCUAACGCGAUAAGUUUUCCGCCUGGGGAGUACGGUCGCAAGAUUA
RNAcentral lists this ribosomal RNA (377 nucleotides) under uncultured bacterium. RNAcentral's name for it is "bacterial SSU rRNA". It matches the Rfam family "Bacterial small subunit ribosomal RNA", at positions 521 to 896 of the family's 1533-position model. The record is from RNAcentral.